This 24-nucleotide non-coding RNA is filed under the name Cricetulus griseus (Chinese hamster). Lineage: Eukaryota; Metazoa; Chordata; Mammalia; Rodentia; Cricetidae. The record is from RNAcentral.
UCAGCUUAUCUUCUUUCCCCAGGG